CAAAUACUCCCUCCGUCCGGAAAUACUUGUCAUCAAAAUGGAUAAAAGGAAAUGUAUCUAGACGUAUUUUAGUUUUAGAUACAUCUAUUUUUAUCCAUUUUGAUGACAAGUAUUUGACAGAGGGAGUAGAAA
Non-coding RNA from Triticum aestivum (bread wheat), 132 nucleotides. Lineage: Eukaryota; Viridiplantae; Streptophyta; Magnoliopsida; Poales; Poaceae. The record is from Rfam.